GAGACCUUAGUUUAACGGUAAAACAUGUGACUUUUAAUCAUUAUCUUGUGGGUUCAAAUCCCAUAGGUCUUA
This is a non-coding RNA of Talaromyces stipitatus, 72 nucleotides long. NCBI's taxonomy places the organism in Eukaryota, Fungi, Ascomycota, Eurotiomycetes, Eurotiales, Trichocomaceae. The record is from Rfam.